Long non-coding RNA from Apis florea (little honeybee), 1314 nucleotides. NCBI's taxonomy places the organism in Eukaryota, Metazoa, Arthropoda, Insecta, Hymenoptera, Apidae. The record is from RefSeq and is a predicted model, not a curated record.
UCUCUGAUAUAUUUUAUACAUUUCAACUCGCAUAAAUUGAGUAUCGUACACGACGAUAUCAUAUGCCUAGCGCAGCCGCAAACCACGUCUUAAUUCACGUCGACUAAUUAUGUCAUGUUUGUCUCCACGGUGCGUGAAUGUAACCAACCGACCCGUCCAUUAGCCGCUCGUCUGGAAUUGAAAUCACGCGGUUCGCUGUAUUUAUGACGACAUAACUAAUACUUGAUAAAUCCGCGCAUCCCGCUCUAUCAACGAUCCAACGUCGAUCGAUCGACAACGCGCCUCUCCAUCGUGAAAAUUUUAUGCAAACCCUCGCCGAGACUCUCUAGAAAGCUUAAUGCCUUCGUUCCCGAGGUUGCAGCAGAGGUCGUAAAGUGCUGCUUCUUACUAAUUUGCAGAGUCAAUAAGCGUCGAGAGGCGCGCCUCCGCGAAUAUUUGCGAUCGGUUACAAUUUGUCGAGGAUUUUAUGACGGGAGGAGGGGGACGAGUGGAGUGGAAACGAAUGGAAAAAUGAAAGGUGAAUUCGAAGAUGGCGAGAUUGGUACGCUUUACGAUGAUGGGCAGGUGCUUUAAGUCUUGAAAGCGUUUUGAUUGCAUUGUUACGAAUCACGGGACUCCUCGCGUUUUAUGCUUGGCUUUUGAGCCGUAUUGCCUUGUGACGCGAUUUUGUGAUCCAAGGCUUUUCGUGAAUAACGCGAACGGGAUCGGAUCGUUAGUACAUGGAUUUUUUAAGCGGUUCGGUCUCGAGUAUCUUUCGCGAUGGAAUUUGCUUGCUUUUGAAACGGAUAUUGUUUCAUCUUCGAGUGAAGAGUCUUUGAUGAAUCAGAUCGAGUGGUGUUGGUCAUCAAUUUUCUUCAAUAAUAUUGAUAUAUCGAUAUAUAAAUUUUCCAAUUUCCAUUGGUAGUGAAAAUUUUUAUGGGAUACACUUCUGUACUUCUUCUGCGGAUUAUAAUUAUAAAGAAGUUUAGGCUAAAUCGAAAAAUAAAAAAAAACUCGAAAAAAUUUAAAUAUUCGUUUCCAAUUCAUUCUCAUUAAUUUUUUUAACAAGUAAUUGAUCAAUUAUCAAAUCAUAUAGCUCACAAAAGAAGACACUCCUCCACAAUUUUCAAUCAAGAAACCAACCACACGAACACGAUCAAUUCACUCGGUACAGAGUAACAAAAAUCCUGUCCUCAUUAAUUAAUUCCACCUUACCUCGCUUCAGACUUAGCCACGAAUUCCACCCAACGUUUUUCUCCAACCAACCCCCUUCCCGCUCGAACUCUUCACAAUUCCCUUGUUAUUAACACCGCGUCCCGUCGCGCAUGAAAAAAA